CCAAAUGUGUUCACUCCUUCCGAGGGGAGUGAGGAAAGGAAGCUUCGGCCUCCGCAUUGAGAUGGGGCCCGCGGCCCAUUAGCUUGUUGGUGAGGUAACGGGCUCACCAAGGCUUCGAUGGGUAGCUGGUCUGAGAGGACGAUCAGCCACACUGGGACUGAGACACGGCCCAGACUCCUACGGGAGGCAGCAGUGGGGAAUCUUGCACAAUGCGCGAAAGCGUGAUGCAGCAACGCCGCGUGGGGGAAGACGGCCUUCGGGUUGUAAACCCCUUUCAGUUGGGACGAAGCUUCGUCGGUGAAUAGCCGGUUGGAGUGACGGUACCUUCAGAAGAAGCCCCGGCUAACUACGUG
Molecule: ribosomal RNA, 353 nt
Filed under: uncultured bacterium
Lineage: Bacteria
Description: bacterial SSU rRNA
Rfam family: Bacterial small subunit ribosomal RNA
Source: RNAcentral